RNAcentral lists this ribosomal RNA (1564 nucleotides) under Enterococcus mundtii. RNAcentral's name for it is "bacterial SSU rRNA". It matches the Rfam family "Bacterial small subunit ribosomal RNA". RNAcentral also lists the same sequence under 1 other name. Lineage: Bacteria; Bacillati; Bacillota; Bacilli; Lactobacillales; Enterococcaceae. The record is from RNAcentral.
UUUUAUUAUGAGAGUUUGAUCCUGGCUCAGGACGAACGCUGGCGGCGUGCCUAAUACAUGCAAGUCGAACGCUUCUUUUCCCACCGGAGCUUGCUCCACCGGGAAAAGAGGAGUGGCGAACGGGUGAGUAACACGUGGGUAACCUGCCCAUCAGAAGGGGAUAACACUUGGAAACAGGUGCUAAUACCGUAUAACAAUCGAAACCGCAUGGUUUCGUUUUGAAAGGCGCUUUACGGUGCCGCUGAUGGAUGGACCCGCGGUGCAUUAGCUAGUUGGUGAGGUAACGGCUCACCAAGGCCACGAUGCAUAGCCGACCUGAGAGGGUGAUCGGCCACAUUGGGACUGAGACACGGCCCAAACUCCUACGGGAGGCAGCAGUAGGGAAUCUUCGGCAAUGGACGAAAGUCUGACCGAGCAACGCCGCGUGAGUGAAGAAGGUUUUCGGAUCGUAAAACUCUGUUGUUAGAGAAGAACAAGGGUGAGAGUAACUGUUCACCCCUUGACGGUAUCUAACCAGAAAGCCACGGCUAACUACGUGCCAGCAGCCGCGGUAAUACGUAGGUGGCAAGCGUUGUCCGGAUUUAUUGGGCGUAAAGCGAGCGCAGGCGGUUUCUUAAGUCUGAUGUGAAAGCCCCCGGCUCAACCGGGGAGGGUCAUUGGAAACUGGGAGACUUGAGUGCAGAAGAGGAGAGUGGAAUUCCAUGUGUAGCGGUGAAAUGCGUAGAUAUAUGGAGGAACACCAGUGGCGAAGGCGGCUCUCUGGUCUGUAACUGACGCUGAGGCUCGAAAGCGUGGGGAGCAAACAGGAUUAGAUACCCUGGUAGUCCACGCCGUAAACGAUGAGUGCUAAGUGUUGGAGGGUUUCCGCCCUUCAGUGCUGCAGCUAACGCAUUAAGCACUCCGCCUGGGGAGUACGACCGCAAGGUUGAAACUCAAAGGAAUUGACGGGGGCCCGCACAAGCGGUGGAGCAUGUGGUUUAAUUCGAAGCAACGCGAAGAACCUUACCAGGUCUUGACAUCCUUUGACCACUCUAGAGAUAGAGCUUCCCCUUCGGGGGCAAAGUGACAGGUGGUGCAUGGUUGUCGUCAGCUCGUGUCGUGAGAUGUUGGGUUAAGUCCCGCAACGAGCGCAACCCUUAUUGUUAGUUGCCAUCAUUUAGUUGGGCACUCUAGCAAGACUGCCGGUGACAAACCGGAGGAAGGUGGGGAUGACGUCAAAUCAUCAUGCCCCUUAUGACCUGGGCUACACACGUGCUACAAUGGGAAGUACAACGAGUCGCGAAGUCGCGAGGCUAAGCUAAUCUCUUAAAGCUUCUCUCAGUUCGGAUUGUAGGCUGCAACUCGCCUACAUGAAGCCGGAAUCGCUAGUAAUCGCGGAUCAGCACGCCGCGGUGAAUACGUUCCCGGGCCUUGUACACACCGCCCGUCACACCACGAGAGUUUGUAACACCCGAAGUCGGUGAGGUAACCUUUUUGGAGCCAGCCGCCUAAGGUGGGAUAGAUGAUUGGGGUGAAGUCGUAACAAGGUAGCCGUAUCGGAAGGUGCGGCUGGAUCACCUCCUUU